GCUAGCUCAUAGGGGAGGAUUGCCCAAGUCUAUAUAAUGAGAUAACCAGUCCAUUCCCCACCCAAUGUUGGACUCUAACCCGCUCUAAUAUAGAACAAUGGAUGUCUUCAAAAUAUUCCUUCUAGGAAUAAGGAAAAAAAGAUUCUCACAAUGGAAAUGGCAGGAAGUAGCACACAUGGUCCCAAAAACUGCAAAGCUGAAGAGGAGAAUGAUUUGGUUUUUCAAAAUUAGCCCAGUUUGAUUUUUUAUUUUUCAAAUAUUAGUUUUGCGGACGAAAGGGGUUCUUGGUCCAUUGUUUU
This 299-nucleotide long non-coding RNA is filed under the name Nicotiana benthamiana. Its description in RNAcentral is "long non-coding RNA (NBEN_LNC001729)". Lineage: Eukaryota; Viridiplantae; Streptophyta; Magnoliopsida; Solanales; Solanaceae. The record is from RNAcentral.